CACCAUCUGUCGUUAUUCACUUCUUCUUGCUCCUCGCAAAUCUCAUUAUUCCCCUCCCUCCUCCUCCUCACUGUUUUCCUAUUUUCUCUUCUCUAUUGCUCUUGAUUCAGUUCUUGGCUAAUACCCUGUCCUCCAAUUCCUCCCUCUCAGCCUAUGAUAGAUGGGCCAUCGCAUUUGUGAGAGAAUCAACUCAUGCCUCUGUCCUCUCAAGAAUUAACUCAUCGCCUAUUACAAAUGGGUCAUCGCCCCUUCAAGAAUCAACUCAUCGCCUGUUACAGAUGGUUCACC
RNAcentral lists this unclassified non-coding RNA (288 nucleotides) under Hevea brasiliensis (rubber tree). Lineage: Eukaryota; Viridiplantae; Streptophyta; Magnoliopsida; Malpighiales; Euphorbiaceae. The record is from RNAcentral.